Molecule: non-coding RNA, 1176 nt
Organism: Pogona vitticeps (central bearded dragon)
Lineage: Eukaryota; Metazoa; Chordata; Lepidosauria; Squamata; Agamidae
Source: RefSeq, a predicted model, not a curated record
GUUAUUCAAAAAUUCUAAGUGGCACCUACCUAAUUGUCUGUACCUGAGAUACAUACAGGGCAGUUCAAUUUCACAAGAGUGUGAAGAAGUAAGUGGAACUCAGAAGCUGCCCUGGUUGCUAUUUCUGGACACUUCUAUGUCUCUCAAUGGUGCUAUACACAUUAUAGACAGCUGCAAUAAAUUUAAUUACAUUCAAUGGGACUGGCUCAGGGAGACGUGUAUGUAGGAUUUUUAGCUUCUGUGGGUCAAGUUCCACCUCCCUUCCUACCCAGUUUAAUAGUCUCAGAUUGUUUGGCAUUACUCAGCCCAAUGCCUGUGAACCAUUGCAGGGAGCUAACAUAAAUGCAGUUGUUACCAGAAAGAUUUAAUAAUGCAAGAUUCCUAACCAAGCAGCAGCUGGCAUUUUGUUUAAUGCUGCUGCUUUGUUCUCAUAUUUUUCACUUUCUGAGGGCCUGACCACAUCCUCUGCUUGAUAUUUUAUGAGCUUUGUAAGCCUGGGGUCAAAGCCAAACAUUCCAAGAGAUGCUGGAGUUUGAACACAAAGAGUUUGGCCCUGCUGCUCUGCUUUAAGAGGAGCGUGUGUGGCGGGCAGUGAGAGAAUGCCUGGAGACGAGAGAAGCUCUUCUGCUGAGAGAGGAAGAGGCUUGAGACCAUCAUGACACAAACUCUGGCUGCACAAGAAUGGCAUAGGCAGUACUGAAAAGAGGAACUCAUUGUAUGGAACUGGAUCAGGGACACUCCUGAGAUAAGCUGCAUUAAGGAUAUUCUUAAGAUCAGAUAAACCAAACUCAACCCUUCUUUAAGCAGUGCCGUACAUUCCUCACAAUGAAGCAUUUGUGACAUCAUUGGCUGUUGCCAUGGAAGUUAACAUGAUACCACAGAUCCAGCACACACUGAGUCCUCUGCAGGAUCAAACAGAAAUAAGACUGUAAAGACCCUGCAGAGCCAAAUACCUCCUCUGCCCUAUUGCUACCAAACAAGCAAGUCAUUAGUGAAAAUAUCUGACUCUUUCCAGAGUGACCCACAGAGAAGGAGCUGUGAUGCAGAUGUAAUGUCACCACUGAAGAAGUACUUUGUGGAUGUAAUCUGUCAUUCAUGAAGAGGAAAAGGGCGCGCAAAGUUCUAGAAUUCUAACGGGCGUGACACCAGGGAGAAGAGACCGAGGUGUACAGAUGG